RNAcentral lists this ribosomal RNA (1375 nucleotides) under Pediococcus acidilactici. Its description in RNAcentral is "bacterial SSU rRNA". It matches the Rfam family "Bacterial small subunit ribosomal RNA", at positions 86 to 1448 of the family's 1533-position model. The record is from RNAcentral. Lineage: Bacteria; Bacillati; Bacillota; Bacilli; Lactobacillales; Lactobacillaceae.
ACGAAGUGAGUGGCGGACGGGUGAGUAACACGUGGGUAACCUGCCCAGAAGCAGGGGAUAACACCUGGAAACAGAUGCUAAUACCGUAUAACAGAGAAAACCGCCUGGUUUUCUUUUAAAAGAUGGCUCUGCUAUCACUUCUGGAUGGACCCGCGGCGCAUUAGCUAGUUGGUGAGGUAACGGCUCACCAAGGCGAUGAUGCGUAGCCGACCUGAGAGGGUAAUCGGCCACAUUGGGACUGAGACACGGCCCAGACUCCUACGGGAGGCAGCAGUAGGGAAUCUUCCACAAUGGACGCAAGUCUGAUGGAGCAACGCCGCGUGAGUGAAGAAGGGUUUCGGCUCGUAAAGCUCUGUUGUUAAAGAAGAACGUGGGUGAGAGUAACUGUUCACCCAGUGACGGUAUUUAACCAGAAAGCCACGGCUAACUACGUGCCAGCAGCCGCGGUAAUACGUAGGUGGCAAGCGUUAUCCGGAUUUAUUGGGCGUAAAGCGAGCGCAGGCGGUCUUUUAAGUCUAAUGUGAAAGCCUUCGGCUCAACCGAAGAAGUGCAUUGGAAACUGGGAGACUUGAGUGCAGAAGAGGACAGUGGAACUCCAUGUGUAGCGGUGAAAUGCGUAGAUAUAUGGAAGAACACCAGUGGCGAAGGCGGCUGUCUGGUCUGUAACUGACGCUGAGGCUCGAAAGCAUGGGUAGCGAACAGGAUUAGAUACCCUGGUAGUCCAUGCCGUAAACGAUGAUUACUAAGUGUUGGAGGGUUUCCGCCCUUCAGUGCUGCAGCUAACGCAUUAAGUAAUCCGCCUGGGGAGUACGACCGCAAGGUUGAAACUCAAAAGAAUUGACGGGGGCCCGCACAAGCGGUGGAGCAUGUGGUUUAAUUCGAAGCUACGCGAAGAACCUUACCAGGUCUUGACAUCUUCUGCCAACCUAAGAGAUUAGGCGUUCCCUUCGGGGACAGAAUGACAGGUGGUGCAUGGUUGUCGUCAGCUCGUGUCGUGAGAUGUUGGGUUAAGUCCCGCAACGAGCGCAACCCUUAUUACUAGUUGCCAGCAUUCAGUUGGGCACUCUAGUGAGACUGCCGGUGACAAACCGGAGGAAGGUGGGGACGACGUCAAAUCAUCAUGCCCCUUAUGACCUGGGCUACACACGUGCUACAAUGGAUGGUACAACGAGUCGCGAAACCGCGAGGUUUAGCUAAUCUCUUAAAACCAUUCUCAGUUCGGACUGUAGGCUGCAACUCGCCUACACGAAGUCGGAAUCGCUAGUAAUCGCGGAUCAGCAUGCCGCGGUGAAUACGUUCCCGGGCCUUGUACACACCGCCCGUCACACCAUGAGAGUUUGUAACACCCAAAGCCGGUGGGGUAACCUUUUAGGAG